This is a long non-coding RNA of Lynx canadensis (Canada lynx), 2150 nucleotides long. RefSeq lists it as uncharacterized. The transcript is spliced from 2 exons. NCBI's taxonomy places the organism in Eukaryota, Metazoa, Chordata, Mammalia, Carnivora, Felidae. The record is from RefSeq and is a predicted model, not a curated record.
CUCAAAAUAAAUAAACCUUUAACAAAAUAUUUAAAAUAAAUAAAUAAUAAAAAUUAGUUUUUCAAAUUCUUUCUUAUACCAACUGUCAUCCUUGCCCCCUCCCAUCACUCCCCUGCUACAUUCACUAGUAGGUUCUUGCUGAAAUUUAACCUGUCACAUUAAAAUUGAAGUUCAUUGAUGAACGUGGCUCCCUAGUUAACUAAUAAUUAACUAUAUUAUUCCAGGUAUUAUUUUCACACCAGUGACAUACUAUAUAUAGUACACCACCCUUGCUACUUUGUUUUUUGUUAAAGAGCAUUAACUAAUUAAGUCUUCUGUGACAACGUGGCUCUAAUUGAUGAAAAUCCCUAUCUAACUCAUCCAAAUUGAUGAAUUAAACCAAUUAGUAAAAUCUCCAAUUGGAUUCUCUAGUUGAUGAAAUUCACCUGCCAUUCUUCUAUUUCAGAAGUUCUCAAAUUUGAGAGCACAUGGGAAUCACCCAGAGUGUUUGUUCAAAUAGAUUCCUGGGCCCUACCCCCAGAGACAUUUACUCAGUGGUUUAAGAGUAGGGCCUGAGAAUUUGCCCCAGGUUCCCAGCUGAUGCUAAAACUUUGGGUCUGGAGUCCACACUGCAUGUAGUUAAUGGAUAUGGCUCAUAGUUAAAGUCUCUCAGUUAAUUAAAAUCAGUUUCAUUAAGGAACUUCCCUUAGAGUUAAUUAGGUCUCCCAAACUCCUAAUUACAUCUAGACCCUAGAUAAUAAGACUUGUUUAAUAGGCUUAUUAAGCUCAUCAAAUUAAAAUUGACCCCUUCAGAAAAAAAAUUCACCUCUUCCUUCUUUAAGCCCUUUAUACUGGUUCUUUCAACUUUAUCUCACUAGGGUGGCAGCUGAGAAGAAAGGGCCUCUGGGAUGGAAGCUGGGGAGUGACGCUCCCAGCGGACAACACGGAGACAUGGAGGGAAUUGUGAACUGGGGGGUGUCCGCGUUGCAUCAGCUUUACGGAGGGCCCCACCUGCUCCCAGUUUCCUUUCCUGGCCACUCCCCUCAGGCCUCCAGCUCUGUUUCACAAUACAUUCGUGGAUUGCAAUUCCCAGUCUUCCCUGCAGUGAUCUGGAGUUUUGUCUUGGGGAAACAGUAAUCACAUGGUUAAGAAUGCUGGCUUGGAGUCAGGCUGGGUUCAAAUGCAAAAUCCCCAACAAACUAGUUAUAUGAUCUUGAACAAAUUAUUUAACCUCUCUGAACCACCUGCACAAGAACAUAGGCCACAUAAUCUGGGAAGGACUGACUCGAUCUUUCUCCAUCAGGAGACUGGCUUCCUCUUCAGGGCCUCUAACCUGAGGGUGUGGAAUUGAGGUGUCAUGGCUAGGCAAGGGCUGCCCCCUGGUGGUCAUGGAGCCUGGGGAGUCCUGAGACACCCAGAAGUGGUUUUUCUCAAAAGGGCCUGAAUUCCAGCUUCCGUUCAGUCCCUUACCUUGCCUCAUCCUAUCAACAGACCAUCUCCACCCCAAAGAGUCAAUGUGGAAGAAAUGGUUUCUUCUACUCAACUAUGAUAAGCAACUUGAGGAGGGAGCAGAAAUCACCACCAGUGGACUGGGGCUGUAGGGCUGGGAAGCGCCACUGGCCUGAAGAUAAAACUCCAUACUUCUACAGUACACGCUCAAUCACAUGGCACUGCUCCAUGUCUCAGGACAGUGCGGCUUUGAAGUCAAGUCAGCCUAAGUUGGAGCCCUGGUUCCCCUGCUUACACAUCUGUGAAUGUGAAUAGCAUCUGUCAAUUUCCAGACUUCACUGUCCUGGAUGUUCAGUGUAUGUUAGUCCCUAGCCCCUCCCCAGUCUGGGGCUAGGAUGACCAUGGUUAAGCUCUGCCUGAACUCAAGGGUAUCUUGCUCUCUCUACCUCUUUUCUGUACCUAAGAUUUCCAAUAUCCAAAAAUGUUGUGGAUUCCAAAGAUUGUACUUGGAUUUUUUUUUUUAAGUCCAUCUACAAUAAAUCCUGGUAGAAGUGUAGAUUCAAGGACCCUUUUCAAUAACUCUGAGUCUCUCUAAGGAACUUUAACCUGCAGGACAGGAACUGAUGCACUAAUCAGCACAAGGAUGGAAUUUUUCAAAGAUACUUUUACCAGGGACUCAAGAGGAAAGCCAAUGAAUAAAGAAGUUGUGAAGUGGAUGUAUA